Molecule: small nuclear RNA, 125 nt
Organism: Amazona collaria (yellow-billed parrot)
Lineage: Eukaryota; Metazoa; Chordata; Aves; Psittaciformes; Psittacidae
Source: Ensembl
GUGUUUUAUGAAAGGAGAGAAGGUUAGCACUUCCCUUGAUAAGGAAGGAAGAGGCCCUUGUAGCCUAUACAACAUGCAUACAGUUAAGGCACUGCUACCUACUUCAUGGCAUCUAACCAUGUUUC